RNAcentral lists this ribosomal RNA (383 nucleotides) under uncultured eukaryote. RNAcentral's name for it is "partial 18S ribosomal RNA". It matches the Rfam family "Eukaryotic small subunit ribosomal RNA", at positions 592 to 976 of the family's 1831-position model. The record is from RNAcentral.
CAAUAGCGUAUAUUAAAGUUGUUGCAGUUAAAAAGCUCGUAGUUGGAUUUCUGGUGGGAGCGAUCGGUCUGGCGCUUAGCGCGAGUACUUGCAUCGUCUCAGGCCAUCCUUGGGGAGAGUCUGUCUGGCAUUAGGUUGUCGGGCAGAGGAUCCUCAUCGUUUACUGUGAAAAAAUUAGAGUGUUCAAAGCAGGCUUAUGCCGUUGAAUAUAUUAGCAUGGAAUAAUAAGAUAGGACUUUGGUACUAUUUUGUUGGUUUGCGCACCAAAGUAAUGAUUAAUAGGGACAGUUGGGGGUAUUCGUAUUCCGUUGUCAGAGGUGAAAUUCUUGGAUUUACGGAAGACGAACUACUGCGAAAGCAUUUACCAAGGAUGUUUUCAUUAA